Molecule: ribosomal RNA, 291 nt
Filed under: uncultured bacterium
Lineage: Bacteria
Description: partial 16S ribosomal RNA
Rfam family: Bacterial small subunit ribosomal RNA
Source: RNAcentral
AUUGAACGCUGGCGGAAUGCUUUACACAUGCAAGUCGAACGGUAGAGGGGGCAACCCCUUGAGAGUGGCGAACGGGUGAGUAAUAUAUCGGAACGUGCCCAGUCGUGGGGAUAACGUAGCGAAAGCUACGCUAAUACCGCAUACGAUCUAUGGAUGAAAGCGGGGGAUCGCAAGACCUCGCGCGAUUGGAGCGGCCGAUAUCAGAUUAGGUAGUUGGUCGAGGUAAAGGGCUCACCAAGGCGACGAUCCUUUAGCUGGUCUGAGAGGAUGAUCAGCCACACUGGGACUGAG